Molecule: unclassified non-coding RNA, 594 nt
Filed under: Ipomoea cairica (mile-a-minute vine)
Lineage: Eukaryota; Viridiplantae; Streptophyta; Magnoliopsida; Solanales; Convolvulaceae
Description: contains ITS1, 5.8S rRNA and ITS2
Rfam family: 5.8S ribosomal RNA (bases 216-371)
Source: RNAcentral
UCGAAACCUGCACAGCAGAAUGACCAGAGAACACGUUUGUUAUUCACUAUUCUCGACCGUGACGCGUCCUUCCUCCCGAGGGGGGUGUGUCUCGGGCGAUUAACGAACCCCCGGCGCGGAACGCGCCAAGGAAUACCUUAUUGAGAUGGUCGGCCGCCCGUGCCCCGUUACCGCGGAUCGCUCGGGAGGCGUUGGCGUCUUACUUAAUCAAAUACGACUCUCGGCAACGGAUAUCUCGGCUCUCGCAUCGAUGAAGAACGUAGCGAAAUGCGAUACUUGGUGUGAAUUGCAGAAUCCCGUGAACCAUCGAGUCUUUGAACGCAAGUUGCGCCCGAAGCCGUCAGGCCGAGGGCACGUCUGCCUGGGCGUCACGCAUCGCGUCGCCCCCAAUGCUUGGCCCCUGGUCGAGCGCGGGGAGCGGACGAUGGCCUCCCGUGCCCCCUCGGGGCGCGGCUGGCCCAAAUGCGAGUCCUUGGCGACGGACGUCACGGCGAGUGGUGGUCGUACCCAGCGUGUGCAUAUCUUCGCGCCGUGCCCCCGUCGUUCGCGGACGAAUGACCCAAACGAGCCCCGUCAGCGCGGCUCUACGACCGC